AGAUGUGCUUUGCUUCUCCUUCACCCUCUGUGAUGAUUGUAAGUUUCCUGAGGCCUCCACAGCCAUGCAUAACUAAUCAUCAAUAUAUACAUGAAGAAAGUGAUGCUAUCAUAAUGUCAUGUGAAAAUUAUACUGGCAAAAGAGUGGGGAUUAUGCUUCAGGUGGCGGAGGUAGCUUGAAGUCCAACAUUAAUAAAGGGAGC
Molecule: long non-coding RNA, 202 nt
Organism: Symphalangus syndactylus (siamang)
Lineage: Eukaryota; Metazoa; Chordata; Mammalia; Primates; Hylobatidae
Source: RefSeq, a predicted model, not a curated record